CAAAAACAUAGCCUUAGCAAAAUAUUUAAGGUGGUACCUGCCCAGUGGUCUUUAUAUUUAAUUUUAAAAAUUUAACAUAAGACUUAACGGCCGCUGUAUUCUUGACGGUGGUAAUGUAGGAAAAUAAAUAGUUAUUUAAUUGAUGAACGUAGGUGAAUGGUUUUACGAGGUUUCCACUGUCUUAAAUAUAAACUAAAAAAAACUAAAUUAAUAGUGAAGAUGCUAUUUGAAACUGUAAGACGAGAAGACCCUAUAAAGCUUAACUAUUUUUUUAUUACUAUCACCGACUUUUACAAAAGUUGGUGAAAUAAAAGUAAAUUAGGUAGUUUGGUUGGGGCAACAGCAUUUUAAAUGUAAAAAAUGUAAUUUUUUAAAAACUUUCAUUUUUGUUUAAUAAAUAUAUUUAACAAUCACAAAGUGGUAUUAAUGACCUGUCAACUUCAAAAAAAAGAAUUGACAAUAAAUAAAUAAAAGCUACUUUAGGGAUAACAGGUUAAUUUUAUCUUAGAGAUGCUAUCGAAGAUAAAGUUUGACACCUCGAUGUUGAAUUAAGUUAUCCCAGUAAUGCAGCAGUUACUAAAGGUUGGUCUGUUCGACCAUUAAAAACUUACAUGAUUUGAGU
Molecule: ribosomal RNA, 622 nt
Filed under: Antennella secundaria
Lineage: Eukaryota; Metazoa; Cnidaria; Hydrozoa; Leptothecata; Halopterididae
Description: partial 16S ribosomal RNA
Rfam family: Bacterial large subunit ribosomal RNA
Source: RNAcentral